This 264-nucleotide ribosomal RNA is filed under the name Pneumocystis carinii. RNAcentral describes it as "partial large subunit ribosomal RNA". It matches the Rfam family "Bacterial large subunit ribosomal RNA", at positions 850 to 1202 of the family's 2925-position model. Lineage: Eukaryota; Fungi; Ascomycota; Pneumocystomycetes; Pneumocystales; Pneumocystaceae. The record is from RNAcentral.
UGGUUUUCUGCGAAAAUUGUUUUGGCAAAUUGUUUAUGAAUGUAUAAAUAGUGGGUAUAGCACUGAAUACUUUGAGGGAGUAUUGUUAUAUUUAUCUCGAGUGUUUAAUCUCAAAAUAACUAUUUAUUUUAUGUAAAUAAUCAGACUAUUUGCGAUAAGGUAGAUAGUCAAAAGGGAAACAGCCCAGAACAGGUAUUAAAGCUCCCCAAUUAAUAUUAAGUGAGAAUUUCCAAGCUCCCCAAUUAAUAUUAAGUGAGAAUUCCC